RNAcentral lists this long non-coding RNA (1328 nucleotides) under Olea europaea (common olive). RNAcentral describes it as "long non-coding RNA (OEUR_LNC012562)". Lineage: Eukaryota; Viridiplantae; Streptophyta; Magnoliopsida; Lamiales; Oleaceae. The record is from RNAcentral.
AAAAAAAAAAAAAAAAAACCACAGGUCAAAACUUAAGACUGACUGUAAUGAUCUUUUCUUACAGUAUUGGAUCAUUGGUAGACAAUUUGCAAUUUGUUGCCUACAUCCACUCGCAAUACAAUUUCACUUUGCACUUCAAGACUGAAACACAUUGUAGGCAUUCCAGAAAUUUCAAAUUCUUCAUUUUCUUAUCGUCUCAUCUUUGCACAUGUUCCAGAUUAUUCAAAAAAUGUGAAUAUCUUUUUUUUUUCUGAUUAGACUGUGUAUGGACUUUUUUGUGUUAGGGAAGCUGAUUGACUAAUCUUCUGAGUUACUAUAGUUUUUCUUCUCAAGACGGUAUUAAAUUCACUCUAGAAUUUGUUUGUCCAUUCUUUUGGUACAAGCAUUUAAAGAAUCCAUGGUGUAUGAGUACAUAGUUGCCUUAAAGCUAAUGUAUUUCAUGUGUUUCCCUUGACAUCUUUUGAGGUGCAGGUGGGAUCGAGAAGCUACGAAGCAAUAAGGAUUUUCCAGGUAAGGUUCCAUUCUAUUGAAAAUGGAAGAAGAUGACAUUACAUUGAUAUGACUCCAUAUAUAAUUUAAUUUAAUUUGGCAGUUCAAAUGCAUGAUUGCAUCAACUUGGAGUCACUUUGUAUAUGAUAUAAAUACAUACAUCUCACUCCAUGUGGAGGCAUGGCAAAAAAUUCUUUGCCUUUAUUACUAAAGCAGAUUUUGCGGUUGUCUUGAGGCUGAGCGUGAACCCAUCUAAGUGCAAUGCCCUAUAUUAAUGAGAACAUGCAUUUUCAGAUUCACACUUGCCUGCACUUCCUUUGUAUAUUAUCGAUUCAGAUCCCAAAGUGAAUAGGCUCCUGUUUGGUUUGGAUAAAAAUCAGAUUUUGAUAAAAAUUGAUGGAAUGAGUCAUUAAAAAGUUGUGGAUUUCAUAAUUGCGUAGUUAAAAUUAAUUGUUGAUUUUGAUUUAAAUUUCUAAUCCAUUUUUUCAAUUGAACCAAAGAAGGGCUAGAAGUGGAAUUGUUUUGUCAUAAUUGAAUGAUUUUUGACAUAAUGAAUAGGUGUUUAGGUAUCGUUCAUUCGGGAAAUAUAACUCUGCUGGAUUCAGGAUUUCUUGGGAGUCAUUAACCUCUUAUCUUCAUUUUUACAUGUUCAAUAAUUAAUGUUAGAUGGGUUACAACACUUGAUAUUACAGAAAGACGAAGAAUUCGGUAAGGGGAUAGAAUCACAUCCUACACCCCAUAUGUCAAAGCAGCUUUUAGCCCUGCAACUGGCAAAGCUAAUUGAAAAGAAGAAAAAGAAAAAAUAAGAGAGAGACUACACGUACACUAAGGCAACCCCC